Small nucleolar RNA from Esox lucius (northern pike), 78 nucleotides. NCBI's taxonomy places the organism in Eukaryota, Metazoa, Chordata, Actinopteri, Esociformes, Esocidae. The record is from Ensembl.
GUGUGGUGCUAAAUCCUAAACUGAAAAUAGCUGGAAUUACAGUCAGAUUGUACAGUGGUGACAUUCGAUUUUCUCAAC